This is a non-coding RNA of Aedes aegypti (yellow fever mosquito), 73 nucleotides long. The record is from Rfam. Lineage: Eukaryota; Metazoa; Arthropoda; Insecta; Diptera; Culicidae.
GUCUCGGUAGCUUAGUUGGUAAAGCACUAGUCUAGCAUACAAUAGUCGUGGAUUCAAAUCCCACCUGAGAACA